UGACGUAGGGUGCAAGCGUUGUCCGGAAUUAUUGGGCGUAAAGAGCUCGUAGGCGGUCUGUCGCGUCGGCUGAUGAAAUCCCGAGGCUCAACCUCGGGUCUGCAGUCGGAUACGGGCAAACUAGAGUAUUGCAGGGGAGACUGGAAUUCCCGGUGUAGAGGUGAAAUUCGUAGAUAUCGGGAGGAACACCGGUGGCGAAGGCGGCGAUCUGGGUCGAUACUGACGCUGAGGUGCGAAAGCGUGGGGAGCAAACAGG
RNAcentral lists this ribosomal RNA (256 nucleotides) under uncultured bacterium. RNAcentral describes it as "partial 16S ribosomal RNA". It matches the Rfam family "Bacterial small subunit ribosomal RNA", at positions 523 to 776 of the family's 1533-position model. The record is from RNAcentral.